Molecule: small nucleolar RNA, 113 nt
Organism: Ochotona princeps (American pika)
Lineage: Eukaryota; Metazoa; Chordata; Mammalia; Lagomorpha; Ochotonidae
Gene: SNORA74
Rfam family: Small nucleolar RNA SNORA74
About the family: U19 belongs to the H/ACA class of snoRNAs. snoRNAs bind a number of proteins (including dyskerin, Gar1p and Nop10p in the case of the H/ACA class) to form snoRNP complexes.
Source: Ensembl
CCCAGCUGUAGUCAACUGCCCAGGUUGCUUUGUACCUAAAGCAAGUGUUAUACUGCUGGGAGAAAAGCAGCCAGUAGCUGGUGGGCAUUCUGGGCCUGGUUAAUGCCAAAUUU